This 381-nucleotide ribosomal RNA is filed under the name uncultured bacterium. RNAcentral describes it as "bacterial SSU rRNA". It matches the Rfam family "Bacterial small subunit ribosomal RNA", at positions 58 to 436 of the family's 1533-position model. The record is from RNAcentral.
CAAGUCGAACGAUGAAGCCGGAGCUUGCUCCGGUGGAAGAGUGGCGAACGGGUGAGUAACACGUGAGUAACCUGCCCUUGACUCUGGGAUAACCUCCGGAAACGGAANCUAAUACCGGAUAUGACGCGCGAAGGCAUCUUCUGCGCGUGGAAAGAAUUUCGGUCAAGGAUGGACUCGCGGCCUAUCAGGUAGUUGGUGAGGUAACGGCUCACCAAGCCUACGACGGGUAGCCGGCCUGAGAGGGUGACCGGCCACACUGGGACUGAGACNCNGCCCAGACUCCUACGGGAGGCAGCAGUGNGGAAUAUUGCACAAUGNGCGCAAGCCUGAUGCANCAACGCCGCGUGAGGGAUGACNGCCUUCGGGUUUGUAAACCUCUUU